RNAcentral lists this long non-coding RNA (2633 nucleotides) under Nicotiana benthamiana. Its description in RNAcentral is "long non-coding RNA (NBEN_LNC017967)". Lineage: Eukaryota; Viridiplantae; Streptophyta; Magnoliopsida; Solanales; Solanaceae. The record is from RNAcentral.
UAAUUAGUUAUAACAUGAGAAUUUGCUACUUAAAUAAAAAUCAAUUAAAACUAUACAAUGAGUAGAUAAAGAAAUAUGAGCAUCAGGCAAGGAAACAACAAACUAAAGCAUCUAUUGCUUUCAUUUCAUCUUCAAAUUAGACUUUACAUCUUGAAAGAUUCAGAACUUGUACCUGGAAUAAUGAGAGAAAAUAAAGGAGAUUCAGUAAAUGAAAGCAACAGCAGCAGCACAACAAAAGUAUGAACCCAGGAAUUAAAAAAAAGGAGUGGCUAGCUUUGAAGCAAUUUCAAACCAACAAAAUGUUAAAUGAAAUCCAGCAAUUGAAAAUCCAACCAAAAAUGACCCAAACACUUCAAUAUCAGCAGAUUCAACUCAUUUUACCCUUUUCAGCUGUUCAAGAAUUAUUUUAGAGUAAAGAACUUUAAAAAUUUCAGAAAUUUUCUAAUAGAACAGUAUUCUGUUGAAGUUUUUCAAUUGUUUCUCUUGGAAAUCUAGACCUUCUUGCCAUACCAGAAUGUAAUGCCUUUUAUAGGCAAACAAAUAAGGCAACUACAGAAUUUUGCUUUGCACUACUAGUCCCUGAAUUUAUGACUUGUUUUCCAAGUUAAGGCCUGAAAUUUGAUUACAAGUCCUUGCUAGAAGCUUCUAGGGGCUUCCUAUUUCUCUUGUAACAAGAUUCUCUAAGGCUAAUCCCUAAUUUACCCCUAACAAAUAUGUUAUUUACCUUUACCCCUUUCCUUAAGACCCUUCUAGUUUUUUAGAGGGACAAUUAAACCCUAAAACCCCUUGAAAUAUGACAAACGAGAUUAUUAAAAUGCUAGGGCUUCAAAACAAUCCAACCAUAAAGGACUUCAAAACAAUCCAACCAUAAAAAUUCUUUAAAGAAAAAAGACAUAAAUUUAUCAAGUGAAAACAAAUUGAUCAUGAAUCAAAUGCACAACACAAACUUUUAACAAUAAACUCCAUUAUACGACUUAUCAUAACUAAGCUAAACAUUGAUUUAAACUAGUCUAAAACCUAAGCUAACUAUCAUGCAAUGGUCAACCUAAUUAACUACAGAAAUUAAAAUACCACACAAAAAGGAAAGACUUGUACCGCUCGAUUAACACGCACGACUUAAUUUAAACUCAGGAAUUGAACAUGAAGUUCAAACCAACAGAAAAGGGAUGAGGAGGAAGGAAAAUCAAAAGGAAACGAGGGAGAACUUACCUAUUUGUUUAGAAUUGAACACCGGACUCGAGUAAAACCUUCAUGUAUCAUCUUUAAAAUUCUGGAAUAAUAAAUUUUAAUUCCGAGUAGUUGUGGAGGUAUUCAAGGGUAGUUGAGUGCGGACUUUGGAUGAGGGGGGCGAGAAGGUUAUAAGGUAUGAUUUUGGGGUAAUUUGGUGGUGGUGGGGUUUUGCCGCCUCUCAUUGAUCCAAUAUUCAAGAGGUUUGGCUGGGAUUCGAAGGAAGAUAAUGGUCGAUUCAUGAUGAGGGAGCCGAGGGGAGGUUGUGGUGUAAGUUUGGUCGUGAGUGGAGACUCGCCGCCGCCGUAGGCGAUUUUUGGCGACGACAUUUUAGGGCGGCAUUACAGGGUUGGUCUCUGAGGGUUUGAUGGAGAAGAGAAGCAAAGAGGGUGGGGGGUCAUUAGGACAUUUAAAUAUUAAGUGAUCCAAGCUUCUGAGCCACUGGAUCACUCAAUGUAGACGGCUGAGAUCGAACGAGAGAAAACAACAUCGGUUGAUCGUCUAGAUAGGAGACGGGGUUAGGCGCAUAGAUUUGGGCCGGUUCAGGGGUGAUUUUGGACAGGUUCAAGGUGUUUUUGAACGGGUUUAGGUUUAAAGCAACCAAAAAUUUGGUCUCUUUUAUCAAAACUUAAUUCUUUUUAAUUUUCUUUUCUUUUUUUUCACAUUAAAACUAAAAAUCUAAAUUAACCUACCUAAUUAUAUUAAGCUCUAACUAAUAAUCAACACAAUUAAUUAAAUAUCAAUUUAUAAAAAACAAACAAAAUUCAAAGCUAAAAUUAAACAAAGCCAAUGAGUCAAUUUUAGUAAUUUUGCGUUUUUGUAAAACCCUAAUUACUAAUUAAUCUAAAAUAUAAAAAAUUAAAUCCUAAAUAAAUAUGCAAUAUUUUUGUAUUAUUUAUGAAUUAUCUAAAUUAAAUGUGCACACAAAAUGCAAAUAAUCAUGAAAUUAUGCAAUUAAAUCAUAAAAAUUGAAUAAUUAAAGUAAAAAUUCUAAAUCUAAGUAUUUUGUAGGAGUAAUUCAUGCGAGUAAAAAAUCAUGUGAUCACAAUAGCCAAAUAACAUGCUAAUUUCUUGCCAAAAACAACGGUUCCAGAACAAUAAAUGCCAAAACAAUAUCAUGAUUUGCCGAAACAAGGGGCAAGGCUUGAUUUAACUAACCAAAUGAAUGAGAUGGACUUCUGGGACAUGAAUAAAGAUUUGAAGAGGUACAACGACCCCUGUUCAAGCUGCGAUUUAGUGACUAUGGCUAUAUAAAUUUUAGUAACUCCGACGACGAGUUGGAAGACGAUGCGAUGGUGAUUCAGGUUGAAGGCUUUUGGAAUACUUGGUAGUUAUUUCAAAUUAAGAAUAAAAGAAGGAUAAAAUCAACAUAAUGAUUACGAGGGUUUGUUUUGCUUGGAGAGUCG